Molecule: ribosomal RNA, 490 nt
Filed under: Arcotheres purpureus
Lineage: Eukaryota; Metazoa; Arthropoda; Malacostraca; Decapoda; Pinnotheridae
Description: partial small subunit ribosomal RNA
Source: RNAcentral
UCUAUAUAUAUUAAAGAGUAAAAUUGAUUUAAUUUUUUUGUAGACAAGAAUUAAUUGAGAUUGAAGCUAAAGAGUUUUAGUUAUAAACUAGGAUUAGAUACCCUAUUAUUCUAAAAUAAUUAUUUACCUUAGUUAGUAAUAGAUAUUUACUUAAAAUCUAAAAAAUUUGGCGGUAAUUUAAUCUUUUCAGAGGAACUUGUUUUUUAAUCGAUAAACCGCGAAAUAUCUUACUUAUUUUGAUAAAAAGUUUGUAUACCGUCAUUAUCAGGUAAUUUUAAAAAAAUGAAUUACUGGGAGUAAUAGUUUAAUUAAAUUAGAUCAUGGUGCAGCUUAUAGAUAAGUUAAAAUGAGUUACAAUAAAUUAUUUUAUACGAAUAAAUAAAGGUAAAUUUGUUUAGAAGGAGGAUUUGGUUGUAUUUUGAGUUUAAUAUGCUUGAAAGAUGAUAGCUCUAAAUUAUGUACAUAUCGCCCGUCGCUUUCAUUUAUGGAU